UGGCAUAGCGGUUAAAGCAUUUGGCUGCUAACCAAAAGGUUGGUGGUUCAAACCCACC
Molecule: transfer RNA, 58 nt
Filed under: Loxodonta africana (African savanna elephant)
Lineage: Eukaryota; Metazoa; Chordata; Mammalia; Proboscidea; Elephantidae
Rfam family: tRNA
About the family: Transfer RNA (tRNA) molecules are approximately 80 nucleotides in length. Their secondary structure includes four short double-helical elements and three loops (D, anti-codon, and T loops). Further hydrogen bonds mediate the characteristic L-shaped molecular structure. tRNAs have two regions of fundamental functional importance: the anti-codon, which is responsible for specific mRNA codon recognition, and the 3' end, to which the tRNAs corresponding amino acid is attached (by aminoacyl-tRNA synthetases). tRNAs cope with the degeneracy of the genetic code in two manners: having more than one tRNA (with a specific anti-codon) for a particular amino acid; and 'wobble' base-pairing, i.e. permitting non-standard base-pairing at the 3rd anti-codon position.
Source: Rfam by way of RNAcentral